Non-coding RNA from Camellia sinensis, 1309 nucleotides. NCBI's taxonomy places the organism in Eukaryota, Viridiplantae, Streptophyta, Magnoliopsida, Ericales, Theaceae. The record is from RefSeq and is a predicted model, not a curated record.
UUUAAUUAUUUGUUUAAGACAGUCAGCAUAGCACAGCACGGCACAACAGAGCUCCGUGUCUCUCAUCAGAGGCACCUAUGACUCUCGCCGGCGCUUUCAAGUCCUCCUCUCUCAUCUCCUGGAAAUCAACUGGGAAGCUUCAGCAAACCAUAGCGAAGUGCAUAGAGAGGACCGGAGAGGCUCUGCAUUCAGGAAAGGUCGCGACGGUGAAGAUCUCACCGGAGUUCGCUGGAGAAGGAAGGUAUUUCGAGUGUCGUUCGAAUUUGAUUCCCGCAUCGAUCGAUUUCGCUAAAGAGAGCCCUCUCUCUACUACGCUGCAUAAAGAUGGGCACAGUGUGCGAACUGUUGAGCACUUGCUCUCGGCUUUGGAGGCCACCGGUGUUGAUAAUUGCCGAAUCCAGAUCACAAGCUCCGACUCUGAAGAUCAUUCUCUCGAGGUUCCAAUUUUAGAUGGAUCUGCAAGGGAGUGGGUGGAAGCAAUUGAACAAGUUGGGUUAAGGGUGGCCAUAGAUCGGGGUGGAAAUAGUUGUGAGAAAAUGGCACCUUUUCUUAAUGAACCUGUUCAUGCAAGGAGGAAUGAUUCUUUUGUAGUUGCAUUCCCUUCUCCAGAAGUUCACAUCACUUGUGGAAUUAACUUCUCGCAGGUACCUGCUAUUGGCUGCCAGUGGUUUUCUUCCAACUUAAUUGGCAGCACUUUCUAUGCUAAACAAAUAGCUCCUUCAAGGACCUUUUGCAUUUAUGAAGAGGUGGAGCGAUUGCGCAAUGCAGGACUUAUUAAAGGUGGCUCAGAAGAAAAUGCCAUUGUUUGUAGUGCCAGUAAAGGUUGGUUGAAUCCACCACUGCGAUUCCAGGACGAACCUUGUCGACAUAAAGUUUUAGAUCUUAUUGGUGACCUUUCCCUGUUUGCACGAUGUGGUAGUCAAGGGCUUCCAAUGGCACAUAUAGUUUCUUACAAGGGUGGCCAUGCACUGCAUGCUGAUUUUGUUCGCCGCUUACCGAGAAUCAAUUAAAGGGAGGAAGCUCUGCAACCUGUGCUUAUUACUGAGAAUCAAUUAGAGGGAGGAAGCUCUGCAACCUGUGCUUAUCAGGAUAUAUAUAUAUGCCCUAUUCUUCAAAUUUAUUAUGUGCGCAUGCUGUGUAUAUUCAGUAAAUUGUUUUAGCUCACCAUGGCAAUAUAAACAGAGUUCAUUGCUUGCGAUUUUCUGCAAUUGCUGGAGAAGAAAUGAGGGAUGGUUUCUUUUCCAUGAAAAAUGAAAACUGCAGGUUCACUGCAUAUUGAUUAGCAAUGUAGCAAAUGCUGUCUACACAA